CCUACGGGUGGCAGCAGUGGGGAAUAUUGGGCAAUGGAGGCAACUCUUACCCAGCAAUGCCGCGUGAAUGUAGAUGGUCUUUGGAUUGUAAAGUUCUUUAAUUCGGGACGAAAAAAAUUACGGUACGCAAGGAAUAAGCUCCGGCUCACUACGUGCCAGCAUACGCGGUAAUACGGAGGGGGCAAGCGUCGUUCGGAAUGACUGGGCGUAAAGGGUGUGUAGGCGGUGUAGCAAGUUAGAGGUGAAAUACCUAGAGCUUAACUGAGGUGCUGCCUCUAAGACUGCUAUACUUGAGUGCGGUAGAGGAAAGAGGAAUUCCUGGUGUAGCGGUGAAAUGCGUAGAUAUUAGGAAGAACAUCAGUGGCGAAGGCGACUUUCUGGACUGUAACUGACGCUGAGGCACGAAAGUGUGGGGAGCAAACAGGAUUAGAUACCCCUGUAGUC
RNAcentral lists this ribosomal RNA (444 nucleotides) under uncultured bacterium. RNAcentral describes it as "partial 16S ribosomal RNA". It matches the Rfam family "Bacterial small subunit ribosomal RNA", at positions 338 to 795 of the family's 1533-position model. The record is from RNAcentral.